UACGAAGGGGGCUAGCGUUGUUCGGAAUUACUGGGCGUAAAGCGCGUGUAGGCGGGUCUUUAAGUCAGGGGUGAAAUGCCAAGGCUCAACCUUGGAACUGCCUUUGAUACUGGAAGUCUUGAGUUCGAGAGAGGUGAGUGGAACUGCGAGUGUAGAGGUGAAAUUCGUAGAUAUUCGCAAGAACACCAGUGGCGAAGGCGGCUCACUGGCUCGAUACUGACGCUGGAGGUGCGAAAGCGUUGGGGAGCAAACAGG
Molecule: ribosomal RNA, 255 nt
Filed under: uncultured bacterium
Lineage: Bacteria
Description: partial 16S ribosomal RNA
Rfam family: Bacterial small subunit ribosomal RNA
Source: RNAcentral